Molecule: ribosomal RNA, 586 nt
Filed under: Ammonia sp. genotype T2
Lineage: Eukaryota; Foraminifera; Rotaliida; Rotaliidae
Description: bacterial SSU rRNA
Rfam family: Eukaryotic small subunit ribosomal RNA (bases 1-462)
Source: RNAcentral
GGGUCCGGACACACUGAGGAUUGACAGAUAUACGCUCAUUGCUGCGUGCUUCGGCGCGUGCUUUGAGCUGAAAGAUGCUAGUUCUUUCAUGAUUAUGUGAUAGGUGGUGCAUGGCCGUUCUUAGUUCGUGGAGUGAUCUGUCUGCUUAAUUGCGUAUCAAUAAUAGAGACCUAGUAUACGCGUGGAUUUCGCGUGGUAGUGACCCCCUGUUUAACGACAGGCGUGUGUCGCACACGCGUACCUACGCACUGGUCUCAGAUAGCAACGAACGUGACCGUAUUCUAUUGUUGCAGUGAAAUGUGCCUUCUGGGUACGACCCACUGCUUAGUAUAUGUACGUGCUUCGGCGCGAACAAUAUACAUUAAACUAUAGAGACCGCCGUUUCUUCUUUAAACCAGAGGAAGGAUACGGCAAUAACAGGUCUGUGAUGCCCUCAGAUGUUCCGGGCUGCACACGUGCUACAAUGAUCAUUGCACUGUGCAUCUAACCCAAUGUGCGUGGACGCCGCAUGCAUGUGCCUUCGGGUACACGCAUUGCUGUUGCGACCACGCCGAACCUACUUCGAAAGUAAAAUUUCUCAGUGGGU